CGUUAUAACCGGCGAUUUCCGAAUGGGGAAACCCAGUGUGUUUCGACACACUAUCAUUAACUGAAUCCAUAGGUUAAUGAGGCGAACCGGGGGAACUGAAACAUCUAAGUACCCCGAGGAAAAGAAAUCAACCGAGAUUCCCCCAGUAGCGGCGAGCGAACGGGGAGGAGCCCAGAGCCUGAAUCAGUGUGUGUGUUAGUGGAAGCGUCUGGAAAGGCGCGCGAUACAGGGUGACAGCCCCGUACACAAAAAUGCACAUAUUGUGAGCUCGAUGAGUAGGGCGGGACACGUGGUAUCCUGUCUGAAUAUGGGGGGACCAUCCUCCAAGGCUAAAUACUCCUGACUGACCGAUAGUGAACCAGUACCGUGAGGGAAAGGCGAAAAGAACCCCGGCGAGGGGAGUGAAAAAGAACCUGAAACCGUGUACGUACAAGCAGUGGGAGCCUCUUAAUGGGGUGACUGCGUACCUUUUGUAUAAUGGGUCAGCGACUUAUAUUCUGUAGCAAGGUUAACCGAAUAGGGGAGCCGAAGGGAAACCGAGUCUUAACUGGGCGUUAAGUUGCAGGGUAUAGACCCGAAACCCGGUGAUCUAGCCAUGGGCAGGUUGAAGGUUGGGUAACACUAACUGGAGGACCGAACCGACUAAUGUUGAAAAAUUAGCGGAUGACUUGUGGCUGGGGGUGAAAGGCCAAUCAAACCGGGAGAUAGCUGGUUCUCCCCGAAAGCUAUUUAGGUAGCGCCUCGUGAAUUCAUCUCCGGGGGUAGAGCACUGUUUCGGCAAGGGGGUCAUCCCGACUUACCAACCCGAUGCAAACUGCGAAUACCGGAGAAUGUUAUCACGGGAGACACACGGCGGGUGCUAACGUCCGUCGUGAAGAGGGAAACAACCCAGACCGCCAGCUAAGGUCCCAAAGUCAUGGUUAAGUGGGAAACGAUGUGGGAAGGCCCAGACAGCCAGGAUGUUGGCUUAGAAGCAGCCAUCAUUUAAAGAAAGCGUAAUAGCUCACUGGUCGAGUCGGCCUGCGCGGAAGAUGUAACGGGGCUAAACCAUGCACCGAAGCUGCGGCAGCGACACUAUGUGUUGUUGGGUAGGGGAGCG
Molecule: ribosomal RNA, 1099 nt
Filed under: Escherichia coli
Lineage: Bacteria; Pseudomonadati; Pseudomonadota; Gammaproteobacteria; Enterobacterales; Enterobacteriaceae
Description: partial 23S ribosomal RNA
Rfam family: Bacterial large subunit ribosomal RNA
Source: RNAcentral